CCUACGGGAGGCAGCAGUGGGGAAUAUUGGACAAUGGGCGAAAGCCUGAUCCAGCAAUGCCGCGUGAGUGAAGAAGGCCUUCGGGUUGUAAAGCUCUUUUACCCGGGAAGAUAAUGACUGUACCGGGAGAAUAAGCUCCGGCUAACUCCGUGCCAGCAGCCGCGGUAAUACGGAGGGAGCUAGCGUUGUUCGGAAUUACUGGGCGUAAAGCGUACGUAGGCGGCUUGGUAAGUCAGAGGUGAAAGCCCACGACUCAAUCGUGGAACUGCCUUUGAGACUGCUUCGCUUGAAGAUGGGAGAGGUUAGUGGAAUUCCGAGUGUAGAGGUGAAAUUCGUAGAUAUUCGGAAGAACACCAGUGGCGAAGGCGGCUAACUGGACCAUUCUUGACGCUGAGGUACGAAAGCGUGGGGAGCAAACAGGAUUAGAUACCCUGGUAGUCCACGCCGUAAACGAUGAUAACUAGCUGUCGGGGCUCUUGGAGCUUCGGUGGCGCAGCUACGCAUUAAGUUAUCCGUCCGUCGGGUAGGUACGGCCGCGAACGGUUAAACGUAACAAGAAGUUAGACGGCGUGAGACGNGCCGACGGACGACGACGAGGGAGUAGG
This 605-nucleotide ribosomal RNA is filed under the name uncultured bacterium. RNAcentral describes it as "bacterial SSU rRNA". The stretch from base 1 to 517 matches the Rfam family "Bacterial small subunit ribosomal RNA", at positions 338 to 873 of the family's 1533-position model. The record is from RNAcentral.